UUUUAUUUUGUGAAUAUGAUGAGUAUCUUGUCUCUUAAAGUUGUGUUCUAAAUAGAAAGAAAAGAAAAGAGACAAGAUGAAAAAAAAAGAAAAAAAAUACAGAAAAAUGUGAAAAAUAAAAGAAAUAAAAGUUUUGUGAAUAAUGGAGUUAAGAAUAGGAUAAAAUUAGAGGGAUUUGGGUGUGAUUUGACUGUGUUUUCACUUAUUCCCCAUUGCUCCUCUAUUUCUUUUGGUUUGUAAC
RNAcentral lists this long non-coding RNA (241 nucleotides) under Vigna radiata. RNAcentral's name for it is "long non-coding RNA (VRAD_LNC009896)". Lineage: Eukaryota; Viridiplantae; Streptophyta; Magnoliopsida; Fabales; Fabaceae. The record is from RNAcentral.